UGGCAGACAUGGAUCAAAAACCUUUGUCUUAAGUCUGGAGGAGCGGACUCCGACAAUGCUCGUGUAUGCAGUGAAAGCCAGGUAAACCAAUGACCGAGGCAUUGCGUCUACGAGAGGAAAGGUUGAAGUCCAGAGAAGCAGAUCAGACCUGCACCAGACCUGCAUUGCUGGACCUCAGUAAGUUAGCUGAGAGCCCAGAAUCAGAAUACUUCAAAGAUGCAGGAUGCCAUCUUGAGAAGAUGGAAGAUGUUCUGAAUCAAGCAUCAGUGGAGUUGAGUGAGCUCAGGACUAAAGCAUUGGAAACACAAUUUAGCCAAGUGGCUUUUCAGAACAUUGAAGACAAGACUAAGUUUUACACAGUAUUUCCCAAUUUCUUAGUUUUGAUGCAAGUGUUUCAACUAUGUGAGCCACACAUCACCUCUAGCACUUUGUCUGCCCUCUCCAAAUUAGAAUCGUCCAUUUUGGUUUUACUUCGGUUGAGACUAAAUCUUUCACUCCAAGAUUUGGCUUUCAGGUUCAAUGUUUCCUGUUCCACCGUUUCUUGAAUUUGGCACAAGUUAAUUGGCGUACUUCAUGAAAGACUGGAGUUUAUAAUAGAGUGGCCAGAGCGAGAGGUAUUUGCACUUGUUUUUGAAGUUUCAUCGUCUGUAGUCAUCGAUCUUUUCUUUGUUUGUUCGGCCAUAGUAACUGUUUACUCGCAGUUGCAACGCUAGCA
Molecule: long non-coding RNA, 715 nt
Organism: Anguilla anguilla (European eel)
Lineage: Eukaryota; Metazoa; Chordata; Actinopteri; Anguilliformes; Anguillidae
Exons: 3
Source: RefSeq, a predicted model, not a curated record